GAAAAUCAUUUUAAAACCUUGUGUUACUUAAGUCAUUAUGGAAUGUGGGAUGGUAGAGUAUGAGUUUCUUAUUCUUGAUAUCAUUGUUGCUUGGAGAAUUUAUUCAAAAUUCCAGCUACCAUCCUCAGUGUUUUAUAUGCCUACUAAAACUGAAAAUAUUAAUUAUGAUUAUAAAAGCUAUCUACUCUGUAUUGAGUUUGUUCAAAAUGAGUUAGACCCUUGUUGAGAGAUUUAUCAUGCUCCUAAGAUCAAGACAUCUAUUCAGAAAGAUUCACUCUUCCGAAGUAUUAUUGCAUUAGAGGCAUCGGCUAUGCAAAAAUAAAGAUAUUUCGAGGAAAUAAAAAGGAGCAAGUGCUCGAUAACCUCGCAGAAAAAAUGGACAAGUGUCCGGCAGUAGAAUUAGGGGUACCUCGGUAUCCACUUAAAAAAAGAAGAAGAAAAAGAAAAAGAUAGCCCAUGGUCCCUCUAAUAAGCAAUAUGCCAACAAGAGUCGACAAAGAUUUUAAUUUCCAAAGUCUUUGAUCUAAGAGUAUGACAUUCCCCUCCUCAGAUCCUGUUUUGAUCAGGCAAUAAAUACAAAGUAAGUAUGCUUGAGAAUUUUUGCAAAUUAAAACAGCCUCAGUA
This 624-nucleotide long non-coding RNA is filed under the name Sorghum bicolor (sorghum). Its description in RNAcentral is "long non-coding RNA (SBIC_LNC006771)". The record is from RNAcentral. Lineage: Eukaryota; Viridiplantae; Streptophyta; Magnoliopsida; Poales; Poaceae.